GACGAACGCUGGCGGCGUGCUUAACACAUGCAAGUCGAACGAUGAAGCCGGAGCUUGCUCUGGUGAAUUAGUGGCGAACGGGUGAGUAACACGUGAGUAACCUGCCCUUGACUCUGGGAUAACUGCUAGAAAUGGUAGCUAAUACCGGAUACGACCCUCGGCGGCAUCGCCAGGGGGUGGAAAGAAUUUCGGUCAAGGAUGGACUCGCGGCCUAUCAGCUAGUUGGUGAGGUAACGGCUCACCAAGGCGACGACGGGUAGCCGGCCUGAGAGGGUGACCGGCCACACUGGGACUGAGACACGGCCCAGACUCCUACGGGAGGCGGCAGUGGGGAAUAUUGCACAAUGGGCGCAAGCCUGAUGCAGCAACGCCGCGUGAGGGAUGAUGGCCUUCGGGUUGUAAACCUCUUUUAGUAGGGAAGAAGCGAAAGUGACGGUACCUGCAGAAAAAGCACCGGCUAACUACGUGCCAGCCGCCGCAGUAA
Molecule: ribosomal RNA, 484 nt
Filed under: uncultured bacterium
Lineage: Bacteria
Description: partial 16S ribosomal RNA
Rfam family: Bacterial small subunit ribosomal RNA
Source: RNAcentral